UGGGUUUUCAUCGGAGCUGGAGUCCUUUCCCAACUUGGAGCCUCUCCAACACUUGCCCUCCCUUCGAAACUUCCAUAUUGAAGGCUGGUCUAAGCUUACAUCUCUUCCUCAACAACUUCAAAGUCUAACAGAACUAGAAUUUUUGGGUAUAUAUGUGUUUCAUAGUGUGGUAGCACUGCCGGAUUGGCUACAAAACCUUUCUUCACUUCGAACGUUGGUUCUUGUUAAGUGCAAUAAUCUGAUGUAUUUUCCAAAAGAGGAAGAACUGAGAUGCUUAACCACACUACAAGGGUUAUAUAUUAAAAGUUGCCCCCUUCUCAAAGAAAGAUGUACCAAGGGAAGACGCGAAGAAUGGCCUAAGAUUAAACACAUUCAACACAUCGAAAUUGAUGGCCAACUUAUAGUGUAAUUGGUGUAAUAGUCAUUCUUCAUGGGUCAGAUGAAAUGUUUGAAGAUGAUGGGUUAGGCUCUGGAGUACUUGUGUUGAUAUCUUUUCAUUACUUUGCCCAAGAAUGGAUCGAUUUUGGUCUCUAUACCAUCCAUAGACUCGUAAUCAAUAUGCAGGAGCUGCAACAUAUUCAUUAUCAUCUACUGUUAACCAUGCUUUGAUCGAGCAGAUGAGGGCCAAGCAUAAACCCAUUUAUACGCAGCCACACCUAAUCCAUGUAAAAAAUCAGUCGCGAGGAUACUCGAACUAGAGACGUCUGUUAACACACAAUGUUUUUGAACUAGUGGAACAACACCCGGGUGUCGAAGAAGGGGAUAGAUCUGACAAAAGCAACUGAAGUCAUCUCCAUCAUAGAACUGAAAAAAUGGACAGUAUUGAGGAGGAUUCUUUGUAAACAGAGAGGUUCUGGUGCCUUCUCCAACUACCCCUGGUAAACAAAAAUGUUGACAGGUAGUUAGUAUGCAUUCAAACCCACAUGUAGGGAAUCCUUUCAUCAAUUAGAACACAUCAAAUAGUUCAUCUCAUGUAUUAUAUGCUUUUGUAUCCUCUUGUAACUAGGAAAACCCCUACAGAAUCAGGAAAACAUCAGUGAUCUUGCCUAUUGGGUCUCAACAACACCCACACUAUUGUUUAUUGUACAAAAUACACUCAAGGCAAGCUGCACACCAAAAAAAAGCUUCAGGGCAUGCUAGGACCUCACCCACCACCCUGUUUGGCUGAAUGGAACAAGUAAAAGCUUCUUCAGUACUAGAAAUAAUGAAUAACAAACUUAAGAUGGUCUAGACUUUUUUGUUUCAGGGCCUUUUCUCAUCCCUUCAGGCAUGGAGAUUUCAAGUGGCUACAGUGGAAUGGCACCAAGAUCAACAAGAGCUAGAUCAAUAAGUGGAUCCUCCCAAAGUACUCGAUCAAAGAUAGUUGCAAAACAACAAGCAUCAAGCAUACACAGGCAAAGCAUUGUAGGAAGCCUAGAAUGCACCUGAGCUACAAUGUGUGAGAAUUAUAUGUGCUGGUUCCUGAACUAGUCAUAAGGAACACUUCCAGUAAGGUGUUCUUCUUCAUAAAUGUGCCUAUUUUUAACAGUUUGUUGCUUCGCCGUGUGUGCUGGCUUUCAAGAAUUGGAGCAGUGGUGCUCCAAAGCAACAGCCCAGGUUUCACAUCAAAUGCCUAACAAAUCCUUGGAUGAGAUCAUGAAUGAAAUCUGUCUGGUGCUAAGCAUUCCACAAAUAUAUCGAAUUGGAACAGUGUUCUGGGAUGACAAAUAUGGAUCCCAAGGGCUGUAAUUGGCAAGAUGCAGUUCUGAGAAAGACUAUCCCUUGGUUUGUUCAUCAGGACUGGAUGUUUCUUAAGUCCUAUCUUGCUUCUGUGGAGUGUGGAGUGGAAGAUUACUCAUUGUUAUAGGGAAGCUUAUCCAGUGGCUGAUUUCUUGGCUAGGUUAGCGGCUAAAAAGGGUUCUUCUUCUUCUAUGACUGUCUUUCCUUCUUUUACGAAUGAAGAACUUUAGGUGGAUGCCAGAAGACCGAGAUUUUUUAUCUUAUGGGAUUGAUUUUUGUUAGGUGGUUUCCCUUGCUGAUGGCAAUGCCAAAGGUGGGGUUUUGGGCUUUCAACGUUUUUUUUUUCGAGUUCUGGCACUGUUAGCCAGUCAUUCUUGUUUAACUCUUUUGUAAUGUUUCUUAUUUUUCUUACAUUUUUUAAUAAAAAUGAAAGGAAAAAAAAAAAGGUAAUUGGGAA
This is a long non-coding RNA of Macadamia integrifolia, 2176 nucleotides long. RefSeq lists it as uncharacterized. Lineage: Eukaryota; Viridiplantae; Streptophyta; Magnoliopsida; Proteales; Proteaceae. The transcript has 12 exons. The record is from RefSeq and is a predicted model, not a curated record.